GACGAACGCUGGCGGCGUGCCUAAUACAUGCAAGUCGAACGCUGAAGGAGGAGCUUGCUUCUCCGGAUGAGUUGCGAACGGGUGAGUAACGCGUAGGUAACCUGCCUGGUAGCGGGGGAUAACUAUUGGAAACGAUAGCUAAUACCGCAUAAGAGUAGAUGUCGCAUGACAUUUGCUUAAAAGGUGCAACUGCACCACUACCAGAUGGACCUGCGUUGUAUUAGCUAGUUGGUGAGGUAACGGCUCACCAAGGCAACGAUACAUAGCCGACCUGAGAGGGUGAUCGGCCACACUGGGACUGAGACACGGCCCAGACUCCUACGGGAGGCAGCAGUAGGGAAUCUUCGGCAAUGGACGGAAGUCUGACCGAGCAACGCCGCGUGAGUGAAGAAGGUUUUCGGAUCGUAAAGCUCUGUUGUAAGAGAAGAACGAGUGUGAGAGUGGAAAGUUCACACUGUGACGGUAUCUUACCAGAAAGAGACGGCUAACUACGUG
Molecule: ribosomal RNA, 495 nt
Filed under: uncultured bacterium
Lineage: Bacteria
Description: partial 16S ribosomal RNA
Rfam family: Bacterial small subunit ribosomal RNA
Source: RNAcentral